GCCAGGGUAGCUCAAUGGUAGAGCAGCGGAAUCAUAAAUCGCAGGUCGUUGGUUCAACUCCUCCCCCUGGCA
Molecule: transfer RNA, 72 nt
Filed under: Bradyrhizobium erythrophlei
Lineage: Bacteria; Pseudomonadati; Pseudomonadota; Alphaproteobacteria; Hyphomicrobiales; Nitrobacteraceae
Description: tRNA_Met_CAT
Rfam family: tRNA
About the family: Transfer RNA (tRNA) molecules are approximately 80 nucleotides in length.
Source: RNAcentral